UCCUAGCCCAGACAGUAACGGCAUCCUUUGUUUGCCUUCUUUAGGCAAGCAAAGAUACAGUGUAUGGCUGGAUUAGCU
Molecule: small RNA, 78 nt
Filed under: Flavobacterium sp. KMS
Lineage: Bacteria; Pseudomonadati; Bacteroidota; Flavobacteriia; Flavobacteriales; Flavobacteriaceae
Description: Flavo-1 RNA
Rfam family: Flavo-1 RNA
Source: Rfam by way of RNAcentral